This 674-nucleotide long non-coding RNA is filed under the name Falco tinnunculus (common kestrel). RNAcentral describes it as "lncRNA (ENSFTIG00000000175.1)". The record is from RNAcentral. Lineage: Eukaryota; Metazoa; Chordata; Aves; Falconiformes; Falconidae.
AUGGCCCUGCUCCGCGCCGGCGCCGCCCCAGCCGGAAAGGAAGCGCCGCGCCGGGGUCCGGGGCGGGCCCGGCGGCCGGGGGCGGGCCGGCUGCGGAGCGGGCGGGAGGCUGGCGGCGGCGGCGCGGGGCCGCUCCCGAGGCCCCUGCUCGGCCGCGGCUCGCCGGUGAGGGGACGCCUGGCGCGGGGGCCGGAGGGAGGCCUGCCCGCGCCGCCCUGCCCGCGCUCGCUGCUGCUCUGCGCCCUUCUCCUGCCCCCGUUCACUCGUAACAGCGCCCGGUCGCGCGGUUCGGGGCGCUCGGUGCUGCGGGCAGCGCGUUGUGCCGGCGCGCCGCCCCCGGCCGGAGCCUGCCCCUCGGCCUGCGGCGGGCCGGGCUCCGCGGCGGGCCCGGGCGGCGGUGUGCCGCCUCGCUCUAGGCUGGUGUUACGGCGCCGUGCCAAUCGCGGCAGGCGUAGGGGUUUGGUGUGAACUGCCUUCAGUCCAGCUCAGCUCUGCAAUCCUUGUGUCAGUUCAUGGAGCAAAGUUUAACUUCAGUCUGCAGUUUCACAUUUGGCCUUCCGAGCUCUAUACGUGCUGGAGAUAAAAUGAGACAGAACAAGCCAGAAAAAGAAAAAUUCUGCAACCCUGCUUAGAACAACCUCAUCCAAAAUUCCACUCUUAACAGAUUUCUUGCG